UACGUAGGGUGCAAGCGUUGUCCGGAAUUAUUGGGCGUAAAGAGCUCGUAGGCGGUUUGUCGCGUCUGCUGUGAAAACUCGAGGCUUAACCUCGAGACGUCGGUGGAAACUGCCUGGCUAGAGUCCGGAAGAGGAGAGUGGAAUUCCUGGUGUAGCGGUGAAAUGCGCAGAUAUCAGGAAGAACACCCGUGGCUAAGGCGGCUCUCUAGUACGGUACUGACGCUGAGACGCGAAAGCGUGGGGAGCAACAGGAUUAGAACCUAC
Molecule: ribosomal RNA, 264 nt
Filed under: uncultured bacterium
Lineage: Bacteria
Description: partial 16S ribosomal RNA
Rfam family: Bacterial small subunit ribosomal RNA
Source: RNAcentral